This 454-nucleotide ribosomal RNA is filed under the name Salmonella enterica subsp. enterica serovar Infantis. RNAcentral's name for it is "partial 23S ribosomal RNA". It matches the Rfam family "Bacterial large subunit ribosomal RNA", at positions 161 to 613 of the family's 2925-position model. RNAcentral also lists the same sequence under 1 other name. Lineage: Bacteria; Pseudomonadati; Pseudomonadota; Gammaproteobacteria; Enterobacterales; Enterobacteriaceae. The record is from RNAcentral.
AAUCCAUAGGUUAAUGAGGCGAACCGGGGGAACUGAAACAUCUAAGUACCCCGAGGAAAAGAAAUCAACCGAGAUUCCCCCAGUAGCGGCGAGCGAACGGGGAGGAGCCCAGAGCCUGAAUCAGCAUGUGUGUUAGUGGAAGCGUCUGGAAAGGCGCGCGAUACAGGGUGACAGCCCCGUACACAAAAGCGCAUGUGCUGUGAGCUCGAUGAGUAGGGCGGGACACGUGGUAUCCUGUCUGAAUAUGGGGGGACCAUCCUCCAAGGCUAAAUACUCCUGACUGACCGAUAGUGAACCAGUACCGUGAGGGAAAGGCGAAAAGAACCCCGGCGAGGGGAGUGAAAAAGAACCUGAAACCGUGUACGUACAAGCAGUGGGAGCCCCACCACCAAAGCAUUCUCUGGUGUUGAAGGCCCUGCAAAGCAGCAUCGCGGUGGCGGAGCGUCGUUUGCGA